This 253-nucleotide ribosomal RNA is filed under the name uncultured bacterium. RNAcentral's name for it is "partial 16S ribosomal RNA". It matches the Rfam family "Bacterial small subunit ribosomal RNA", at positions 524 to 776 of the family's 1533-position model. The record is from RNAcentral.
UACGUAGGGUGCAAGCGUUGUCCGGAAUUAUUGGGCGUAAAGAGCUCGUAGGCGGUUCGUCGCGUCGGCUGUGAAAACCCGGAGCUCAACUCCGGGCCUGCAGUCGAUACGGGCGGACUUGAGUGUUGCAGGGGAGACUGGAAUUCCUGGUGUAGCGGUGAAAUGCGCAGAUAUCAGGAGGAACACCGGUGGCGAAGGCGGGUCUCUGGGCAACUACUGACGCUGAGGAGCGAAGGCUAGGGUAGCAAACAGG